AACGCCGCACCUGGGCUUAGAGUGCGACGCUAGCUGACUUACGGCGCGAAUUUCAGCAGUGUGGGAAAGUUACAGCUAGCGGGUUAGAUGCGCGGACCUCGAUGCAGUGGAAUGGAGGAUCAAGAAACGGUAGCAUGCUGGACAGAGGACAUGCGCAUUUCAUUUUUCGGGACUUUCGUGUCCAACCGCAUGUGAAGGAUGGUAAAGCAGAAAUCCCUAAGAUGUGAAAGAGAACAGUUACAGUUACAGUUUCCAAGCCCAGAAUCUGAGCUGCAAAUAAAUAAGAUAUAAAAUAAAUUAUGGAGAAAAAGACACAUUAAUAAUAAAAAAAAAGUUUCUGUUAUUGUGUAUUAUUUAAUACUAAUGAUCAAUAAAUAUGUAAAGUUUAAAAAGUAAAGCCUAUUGAAUAUAGAAUUUAUUUGAAACAGUGACUUUUAUUAAACCAUUAACCCAAACAUAUGCCUCUGCCAAGACUUGAACUUGGAUCUCUUUUUUCUUUGAAGAAAGUGUUCUACCUUUGAACUACAGAUGCUUGUCAAUGGGUUUGGUUCUAAAUUAGUGUUGAGCUUUUCUAAUUGUCAUAAAUAUAAACAUUAGAUUCAAUUGCAAAUUUAAAUCACAUCUUCAUACUUUUAAGAACAGAAAUAUGUUUCUAGGAAAUGUAAACGGA
This is a long non-coding RNA of Magallana angulata, 670 nucleotides long. RefSeq lists it as uncharacterized. The record is from RefSeq and is a predicted model, not a curated record. The transcript has 3 exons. NCBI's taxonomy places the organism in Eukaryota, Metazoa, Mollusca, Bivalvia, Ostreida, Ostreidae.